GGGGAUGUACUUGGUUUCGACAUAAUACUAGAAGGAUAGAUAGCAAGUAGUGGAUUCUCGUUGGCCACUUAAAAAAACGGGAAACUAAAUAUAAACGCAGAAAAUAAUAAUGAGUAUGCUUUAGCUGCCUAAUUGCAGCUACGCUUUCCUAAAUGUUCCUACGCAUUUAGAUAAAGUGUCAUAUUAGUAGGAAACAAAGCUAUCUUUGCUUUGAAGGUAGUGGGUAUUUUAAAAGCUAUAUCUAACUUAAACCUGUUUAUUGGUGUGGGUUAGAUGAAUAUAAAUAAUAAACUAAACUUGUAGAAGUCUAUUUGGAAGGUAUUAUGGACAGGAGUUCGACUCUCCUCAUCUCCACCA
RNAcentral lists this transfer-messenger RNA (357 nucleotides) under Clostridia. Its description in RNAcentral is "CAG-269 sp944388795 Standard tmRNA". It matches the Rfam family "transfer-messenger RNA". From Rfam's summary of the family: Bacterial tmRNA, also known as 10Sa RNA or SsrA, is named for its dual tRNA and mRNA-like properties. Its role is to liberate the mRNA from a stalled ribosome. The record is from RNAcentral. RNAcentral also lists the same sequence under 1 other name. Lineage: Bacteria; Bacillati; Bacillota.